UAUCAAAUUAACCUAACAACAUAAAUAAUAUAGCAUAAGCCUAAAUUAAUAAACUAAACCAUUUUUCCACCUUAGUACGGGAGACAGAAAAGGUAACCUCAAGCAAUAGAAAAAGUACCGCAAGGGAAAGCUGAAAGAGUAAUGAAACAGUCCAUACAAGCACAAAAAAGCAGAGCCUAAACCUCGUACCUUUUGCAUCAUGAUUUAGCCAGUACUACACAAGCAAAGCGACCUUUAGUUUGAUACCCCGAAACCAAGUGAGCUACCCCGGGACAGCCUAAUGGGCCAACCCGUCUCUGUGGCAAAAGAGUGGGAUGAGCCCCGGGUAGAGGUGACAGACCUACCGAACUUGGUGAUAGCUGGUUGCCUAAGAAAUGAAUAGAAGUUCAGCCUCGUACCCCUUUAAUCAACCAAGAAAUAUCUAAACAAGCAAAAAGAGAAGCACGAGAGUUAGUUAAAGGGGGUACAGCCCCUUUAACCAAGGACACAACCUUAAAAAGAAGGAUAAGGGUCAUAUUUUUUAAAACUAGUCGCCUCAGUGGGCCUAAAAGCAGCCAUCUGGACAGAAAGCGUUAAAGCUCAAGCGACACAAAAUUUAUUAUACUGAUAAAUAACCCUACUCCCCUAAACAAUAUUAGGCCAUUCCAUGCCAACAUGGAAGAGACCAUGCUAAUAUGAGUAACAAGAGGACAUAAUCCUCUCCCAGCACAAGUGUAAACCAGAUCGGACUAACCACUGGAAAUUAACGAACCCAAAAAAAGAGGGCAGUGUUAACACAAACAAAAUCAAGAAAACCCCACAACACCAAAAUCGUUAACCCCACACUGGAGUGCACCAAGGAAAGACUAAAAGAAAGGGAAGGAACUCGGCAAACAUAAGCCUCGCCUGUUUACCAAAAACAUCGCCUCCUGCAAACCCCUAUGUAUAGGAGGUCCAGCCUGCCCAGUGACUACAAGUUCAACGGCCGCGGUAUUUUGACCGUGCAAAGGUAGCGCAAUCACUUGUCUUUUAAAUGAAGACCUGUAUGAAUGGCCAAACGAGGGCUUAACUGUCUCCCCUUUCAAGUCAGUGAAAUUGAUUUACCCGUGCAGAAGCGGGUAUAAAAAUACAAGACGAGAAGACCCUUUGGAGCUUAAGGUACAAACCCAACUACGUCAAACAACUUAUUAAAAAGUGUUAAACCUAGUAGAAAAUGGAAUUUUACCUUCGGUUGGGGCGACCAUGGAGAACAAAAGAUCCUCCAAGUGGAUUGGGACUAAACCCUAAAACUAAGAAAGACACUUCCAAGUCACAGAAAUUCUGACCAAUUAUGAUCCGGCCCCCCGGCCGAUCAACGAACCAAGUUACCCUAGGGAUAACAGCGCAAUCCUCUCCAAGAGUCCAUAUCGACGAGAGGGUUUACGACCUCGAUGUUGGAUCAGGACAUCCUAAUGGUGCAGCCGCUAUUAAGGGUUCGUUUGUUCAACGAUUAAAGUCCUACGUGAUCUGAGUUCAGACCGGAGCAAUCCAGGUCAGUUUCUAUCUGUAAAGUCAUUUUUCCUAGUACGAAAGGACCGGAAAAAAAAGGCCCAUGCUAAAAGCACGCCUUACCCCUAAUUAAUGAAAACAACUAAAUUAAAUAAAGGGAGGACCCAAAAGAUC
RNAcentral lists this ribosomal RNA (1641 nucleotides) under Yunnanilus retrodorsalis. RNAcentral describes it as "16S ribosomal RNA". It matches the Rfam family "Bacterial large subunit ribosomal RNA", at positions 199 to 2815 of the family's 2925-position model. The record is from RNAcentral. Lineage: Eukaryota; Metazoa; Chordata; Actinopteri; Cypriniformes; Nemacheilidae.